CCCCUAGAUGUUCUGGGCCGCACGCGCGCUACACUGAACAGUUCAACAAGUCUUAACCUUGGCCGAUAGGUCUGGGUAAUCUUUGAACGCUGUUCGUGAUUGGGAUAGACCUUUGCAAUUAUGGGUCUUCAACGAGGAAUUCCUAGUAAACGCAAGUCAUCAGCUUGCAUUGAUUACGUCCCUGCCCUUUGUACACACCACCCGUCGCACCUACCGAUUGAAUGGUCCGGUGAAAUCUCGGGACGGCGGCUUGGUCGCUUGCGUCCGACUGCUGAAACUUGAUUAAACCAUAUCAUUUAGAGGAAGGUGAAGUCGUAACA
This 320-nucleotide ribosomal RNA is filed under the name uncultured eukaryote. Its description in RNAcentral is "partial 18S ribosomal RNA". It matches the Rfam family "Eukaryotic small subunit ribosomal RNA", at positions 1470 to 1796 of the family's 1831-position model. The record is from RNAcentral.